UAGAGCACGACCUUGCCAAGGUCGGGGUCGCGAGUUCGAGUCUCGUUUCCCGCUCCA
Molecule: transfer RNA, 57 nt
Filed under: Pseudomonas aeruginosa SG17M
Lineage: Bacteria; Pseudomonadati; Pseudomonadota; Gammaproteobacteria; Pseudomonadales; Pseudomonadaceae
Description: tRNA-Ser
Rfam family: tRNA
About the family: Transfer RNA (tRNA) molecules are approximately 80 nucleotides in length. Their secondary structure includes four short double-helical elements and three loops (D, anti-codon, and T loops).
Source: RNAcentral